Molecule: long non-coding RNA, 706 nt
Organism: Gossypium raimondii (Peruvian cotton)
Lineage: Eukaryota; Viridiplantae; Streptophyta; Magnoliopsida; Malvales; Malvaceae
Exons: 2
Source: RefSeq, a predicted model, not a curated record
UUGAACAAAAGACGAAAAAUCGGGGAUAAAUUCGAAAUAAAUAAAAGGACCCAAUUGAAUGCGCAGGAAACAAUGGAGGACCAAAAGGGGAAUUAAUCCCUCCCUCCUACAUGUUGCGCAGCACUGGAUUAAAUCGUCACGCGGGUAAAAUAUUUGGGCCAAAUUUUAAAGAGGAAAAAGAACUUGAUUAAAACGCGUCACAAAAGGAGGAGGGCUAAUUGCGCAAUUUUCCCAUUUAAGGUGGAUAUGCGCAGACCUUUACCCCCCAAACUAAAUGGCUCAGCUUUAAAUCAUUCUGUUUCUUUUUUUCUAAAAGAAAAGCAGUGGCUCUGCUAAGGUUCUUUUAACCCAUUCCGCGCCAUCGUCCAUCUGCCCCUUCACCAAAGCUCCGACGACGGCGGAGAUGGUGGUGGCGCGGCGACCUCGACGAACUGGUGCGUGGAGAGUUUGGCAUGCGUGGAGGCCGAAACUUGCGACGUCCGGAUGCUGCUGGAGGCGCUGAAGGCGGGGGGAGCUGCGGCGGCUACUGGCAAAUGCUGCUAGGGUUCUCUUUUUUUGGGGGGGUUAAGGCUAGGGUUUAAUUUGGGCUUUGUAAAAAUUGGGCUGUGUCCCAUUAUUUAUUCCACACGGGCCUGGGCCAAUUUGGGCCUACUACAUGAUCAAUACAAAGAAAUCGAAAAAAAGGAAAAGAUCAGUUUUUUUGGAA